Molecule: long non-coding RNA, 4656 nt
Organism: Canis lupus familiaris (dog)
Lineage: Eukaryota; Metazoa; Chordata; Mammalia; Carnivora; Canidae
Exons: 2
Source: RefSeq, a predicted model, not a curated record
GCCUCCGUCCUCGGCCCGCGUCGGCCCGUGUCGGCCCGGGCUCGGGUGCCGGGCCCCUGGCGUUCGUCUUAGUUCUGUGAGACGCAGCUGGGUGAGCUCGAGGAUGGGACUCAGCCAUUCCCCGCGGGCAGCGUCCCGCCCCGCCAGUGAAGAAAUAAAGAUGCAAUAUAAACAAGACUUCUGGCACUCACUUCGGCAGCACGUAUACUAAGCAAGACUUCUACUCUUUGCUCUUCAAUAAAGGAAACCUGUAUAUUUCAAAACAAAAUGAAAGUGCCCCUUGGAGGCUUUAUAAGUAAAUUUCCUCCAUACACCUGAGGUCAGCGAUCUGUGCAGCCGGGGUUCCAGCAUAAUCACCGUUACUAUUACUACUAAUAAUGGCAUUAGUAGGGCUGCCUGUGAUGGACCACUCACCGUGCUGGCAGCUUUACCACUUGGUCUCCUUCAUUCCUCGCACAGCCCCAGGGGCAGGUAUGUGCAAUAGCCUCAUUUAAAAAAGGGGCACUUAGCACAGAGAGGUUAAGGGACUCACCGGAGGCUACACAGCUGGUAGUAGCAGUGCCAGGAUCCUAUCAGAGCCAGGCCCUUCUCACCACCCACUGCAGGGCUUGCAACAGCCCGAACUCCAAAACCAUCCUCAUAACAGAGGUGUGUCCUUCGACAAGCCAGGGGUUGAGGCUGGUGUGUGGCUGCAGGAUACUCCAUCUGGUCAAAAUGAGGACUAGCAGGACGCCUGAGUGGCUUAGCGGUUUAGCUCCUGCCUUCGGCCCAGGGGGUGAUCCUAGGGUCCCGGGAUCGGGUCCCACAUUGGGCUCCCUGCGUGGAGCCUGCUUCUACCUCUGCCUGUGUCUCUGCCUCUCUCUCUCAUGAAUAAGUAAAAUCUUAAAAAAAAAAAAAAAAUGAGGACUAGCAAAAGGAGGGGUUAGUCACCUUCUUAAAACAAAAACCCUGCAAUAAUGGCCAUGUUUAUUAAGCACAUCGCCCUCUGUUGUAGGAUAGUUUCCCUAAGUAUCACCAUAGAUCUCUAACCCCACAGGGACUGGGCUUUGAUGUUCCCCCAUAAAAGAGCCCCAUAGCAAGUAACUUGGGAAAUGUUGCACCUUCCUCUGCCCCCCCAAGAUUCAAAGGACCUUUUAGAGGCUCUGAAAAUUCCUCUCGUGAAAAAAACUGGUUAAGCUUUGUCUAAUCCAGCAAUUCCUGAUCUUACUUGACCCCAGCACCCAUUUUCAUUAAAAGAGCCAUUGACCGGGGCACCUGGCCAGCUCAGUCGCUACAGCAUGCAACUCUUGAUCUCACGGUCAUGAGGGUCAUGAGCCAUGCCCACACUGGGCAUGGAGCCUACUUAAAAAAAAAAAAAAAAACACUGACAGCCCCAGGCCUCCAAAUUGCCAUGCACACUUGCCUGUGCCAUACUGGGGGCAACAUGCUUUGCAGUACAGGGUCUUGCUUUGUUUUGUCUUCACUCUAGGUGAGGAAUGGAAGUGCAGGGAGGCUCGAUGUCUUACUCGUGGUCCUCUGCUUGCUCAACUUAGAAAACAGUAGGGGCGCCUGGCUGGCUCAAUCAGUAGGGCAUGCGACUCGAUCUCGGGGUCACAAGUUCAAGCCCCACAUUGAGUACAGAGAUUAACUUAAAAAUUAAAUCUUAAAAAAUAAAUACUAGAGUUUUCAACAUAGAGAAACACCAACUGAUGUCAAACUUAAAAGAAAAACUGACUGGCAGUGCCAGGAGAUGCCAGCAGCUGCUGAGAUAGUAUUAUAACAUCUUCUGAUAAGCCAUUUUAUGUCGUAUCCCUUUUAGGGUGAAGAAGGGUUUUGUCUUGUCAAUAAAAAUGUACACGUGUUCCCCUGCCUCCACUCAUGGUGAAAGUGACCAUUGCACUGAAGUCAAACAAAAUCCUAACCUAGCAGGACACUGUGUCCUGUGCUUUGCACCUCACCAGACCCAGGGCAUUCUGCUGGAAUUUUGUGGUUGUCUCUGUAAAAUUUUACAUUCUUUGAAGUAGGAGGUUCUUUCUUCCAAGUAAACACUUGUAUGCUUAACCUGAGCAGGUUUUUGGAUGGUCGUGUGGUUGCUUUAGGCCAGCAGUAGGCUUCCCUCAGCAAGAAGGAAGGAGAUUCAGCCUCUGCCCAUCCCGAGGUCCUGGGGUGAAAGAUCUUAUGGAAUUUUUGAAAAAGAUUUUGGUUGUUUUUUUGAGAGAGCACAAAGGGCAGAGGGAGAGGGAGAAGCAGACUCCCACUGAGCAGGGAGCUAGAUGCAGGACUCAAUCCUAGGACCCUGGGAUCAUGACCUGAACAGAAGGCAGAUGCUUAAUGGACUGAACCCCCAGGCACCCCAUAUCUUAUGGAAUUAAAUAAAAUUGAGUAAAUAUCUACCAGAGCCUAUUCAGUUUCUAGCCCAACACUGCCCUGCUGGCAAGGAGGGAAAGUCAACGAGGGCAGCAAGCAGCUAUAGACACCCCCGCACACACUCCCCUCACUCCCCACAGGGAUGGAGAGGAACAGGACCAGAGCCCUGGAGUUUGGGGAUCAGGGGCUGGGGCCUGCAAUUACACUGAGAAGCCACUAGGUGUCAGGAUGCCUCUGGCUUGGGCCGGGUCCCCGCAGGCUGACAGCGGCACCUGUUCCUCUAAGCACCCUCAGAUCACGGUUUGCACCAAGUUCAUCCUCUGUAGAUGGAAAACAAGCUCAGGGAGCAGGUGCUGGUCAACAUUUGGGAGAGAGGGAGGGAGCACUGGAGGCUGGCCCAAGCCUGGUGCUACACUGGGGAAUGGUAAAAUGACGGAACAGGAUCCAGCCCGUGCCCUUCUAGGGGUUUACAGUCUCCAGGCAAGGACAGUAUCUGAGUCUGAACCCCUGCUCCACCUCGUUACCUGUGAGACCUUAAACAACUACUUCUGCUCUGAACCUGCUACCUCCACGUCCUCCCAACUGCAGCAGUAAUAACCUCCCAUCUCUAGUGCUGUGAAUGUACCGGUUCGGACCGGCCAGCUCAUCACAGUGGUGCCACAGCCCAGGCAUCACGGGCACGACUCCAGCCACAGACUCAGGGGUGCGGGCAAUCCCACGGACUCCAUUCCUGUAACAGCCUCGCUUCUGACCCAAGCCUCACAUUCCACGAUGCCAUGGGCAACGCACCACGGACGCCAGUUUCAGAGUCCUGCCCCCUUCCUAAGUCAGGACUCAUGCAGGGAUAGGGCCCUGUGGGGUGCCUGCUGCCACGGCCUAUCUGUCCACACUGGUCAUUGCCGCCCCCAUGGGGUCCCACACUCCAGUGCUGUCUGCAGCCUUGCUGGGCAUGUGGGCCUCUUUGGGCAGCCUGCCUGCUAGGGUCCUGUCACCUGGGUGCCAUACCCCUCCUGCAUCAUUCGCUGGGCACUGGAGGCAGCAGGCCCAGAACCUCCUCACUCCAGACCAGGGGAAUGUCCCCGUGGUCCAAGAUGCUUCAUCAACCCUGCUUCUCCAGGACACCUUGCCCACAAGGAAGACGACACCAGUUCUGCUGUCCCUCUUCCAUUCCCCUUUGUUCUCCUAAGGGCUGGGGUUUGGGGGAAAUAAAAACAAAGUUCAAAAGAUCCACAGGCCCCUUCUGCUUCAGCCCCAGGCCAAGAAGUCCCCCUUGAAUGCAGAGAAGGAAAAGCAAGAAGGGGGGGGCAGGAUUUCAAUAUACGUGGUCCCUGCUCUGCAUGGUUCCAAUACGCAGAAAUUUUCAUUACUACGGUCUAAUAAGAUCACAUUAGUCCCCCAACAACUCAGUUCAAGUACCAGCUACCCUGUGUCUUAACCGAGUAGCUGCCCCGGGUACAGACUUCGGGGAGCUCUCCAGCAUGCAGAUCACUCCAUGAAUGACAGCCGUGCAUCGUGAUCAGCGACUGUCUGGCGCUUCUUGCAAAGUCCGUGGGUCACUGGUCACCACGCGUGCUCCUCGGUUCCCACACAGCCAGCGAAGUCGGUAGGUGUGCCACCGUCCGUGACAAAUACACUUGAUAUUUUACCGAAGUGCAUCCCGGAAGCAGGGACCUGGCUGUCCCAGGUGAGAGAGCAGCGAGGAAGAGGAGUGUUAACCCUGGAGGUCACAAUCGGGGUCCCAGAAGAAAGCGCCGCCGAGGGGCGUGGAUGCGAGCGGCCAGAGGAGCCUGGCGAGGCCCACGCCACGAGAAGGACCGUGUCCCGAGCCAGUGACAUCGGGAAGACUUCACACCGAAGGAGCCCUCAGAGAUGCUUCCCACGGCUCCAAGAGCACAGGCAACGCUGGAGCUGAUCUCAACCCGGGAGGGCCGGUGACAGCUGGGAAAGGCCCAGAAGAGAUGCUCGCAGCGCAUCCUAGGUUACACCACGGAACAGGCAAGCCCUGCUCAUACUGCUCCUGGUAAGUUUUUUUUCUUAUAAUUGUGGUUAAAUCCUCGUAGUAUGCAGUGCACCACCUUAACUGCUUCCAAGUGGCCAGUUCUGUGGCAUCAGGUACGUUCACACCGCUGGGCAAACAGGGACUGCUCCACAGACUUGUGUGUCCAUGUUGUGCAGAGACACGCUCAUCUUUCUGGGUCGUUCCGAUUUUACCACCUGUGCUGCUUUCAAACAAAGAAAUAAGCACCAUCACUCUCAAUGCCUCUGAUAUUUUAAGUUAGAGUGUACUAAAUAAAUAUUAGUUUUACUGUU